RNAcentral lists this ribosomal RNA (351 nucleotides) under uncultured bacterium. RNAcentral describes it as "bacterial SSU rRNA". It matches the Rfam family "Bacterial small subunit ribosomal RNA", at positions 28 to 361 of the family's 1533-position model. The record is from RNAcentral.
GAUGAACGCUGGCGGCGUGCUUAACACAUGCAAGUCGAACGAAGCACUUUAUUACGAUUUCUUCGGAAUGACGAUUUAGUGACUGAGUGGCGGACGGGUGAGUAACGCGUGGGUAACCUGCCUUAUACAGGGGGAUAACAGUUGGAAACGACUGCUAAUACCGCAUAAGCGCACAGGAUUGCAUGAUCCAGUGUGAAAAACUCCGGUGGUAUGAGAUGGACCCGCGUCUGAUUAGCCAGUUGCGGGGUAACGGCCCGACCAAAGCGACGAUCAGUAGCCGACCUGAGAGGGUGACCGGCCACAUUGGGACUGAGACACGGCCCAAACUCCUACGGGAGCAGCAUGGGGGAA